Molecule: ribosomal RNA, 221 nt
Filed under: uncultured bacterium
Lineage: Bacteria
Description: partial 16S ribosomal RNA
Rfam family: Bacterial small subunit ribosomal RNA
Source: RNAcentral
AAACGGUACUCAGUUCGGAUUGAAGGCUGAAAUUCGCCUUCAUGAAGCUGGAAUUGCUAGUAAUGGCAGGUCAGCAUACUGCCGUGAAUACGUUCCCGGGCCUUGUACACACCGCCCGUCACACCAUGAGAGUUGGAAAUACCCGAAGCCUGUGAGCUAACUUUUAGAGGCAGCAGUCGAAGGUAGAGCCAAUGAUUGGGGUGAAGUCGUAACAAGGUAGC